GAAGGAAAAUGCUGUCCCAAUAAAAGCUUCUGUGGAUUCCAUGGAGAGAUAUGGAGCUGGGAUGACCUUCUGAAGUCGUCCUGAGUUGAGGAGAAGGGACUUGGUCUUUACAUCCCUAUGUUGGAUGCAGGCUAACCCUGGAAGUUUUGGAGUUAAGAUUUGGGUGCUAAUCUCAUAAAAAGAACUAGAGACUAUUCACUGUUUUCAACUUCCUGAAAGAAUUGAUGUCUGAUUUAUGUUAUUUCUUAUUUGCAUUUAUUCUUUUUAUGUUUGCAAAGAUGCAUCAAUGAUUCUAUCUGAGUCUAGGAUUUUCAUAAUUGUGAGAAGGUUUUUAAAUAAUGUGUUCAAUUGUUAGACUAUUAAAGAAUGACAUUUAAU
RNAcentral lists this long non-coding RNA (378 nucleotides) under Homo sapiens (human). Its description in RNAcentral is "HSALNT0323140". The record is from RNAcentral. Lineage: Eukaryota; Metazoa; Chordata; Mammalia; Primates; Hominidae.